UACGUAGGGUGCAAGCGUUGUCCGGAUUUAUUGGGCGUAAAGAGCUCGUAGGCGGUCUGUCGCGUCGGAUGUGAAAACCCAGGGCUCAACCCUGGGCCUGCAUUCGAUACGGGCAGACUAGAGUGUGGCAGGGGAGACUGGAAUUCCUGGUGUAGCGGUGAAAUGCGCAGAUAUCAGGAGGAACACCGGUGGCGAAGGCGGGUCUCUGGGCCAAUACUGACGCUGAGGAGCGAAGGCGUGGGGAGCGAACAGG
This 253-nucleotide ribosomal RNA is filed under the name uncultured bacterium. RNAcentral describes it as "partial 16S ribosomal RNA". It matches the Rfam family "Bacterial small subunit ribosomal RNA", at positions 524 to 776 of the family's 1533-position model. The record is from RNAcentral.